CUUGGUCAUUUAGAGGAAGUAAAAGUCGUAACAAGGUUUCCGUAGGUGAACCUGCGGAAGGAUCAUUAACGAAUUUAAUAUCAUCUCUUUAUGUGAACUCUUAUUCUUUUAGAAUUUGAUGCUUCGGCUCUUGGAAUUUUCUAAGAGCCGGUAGAAAACUCAUUUAAACUUUAUGUCUAAACCUAAGAUUUUAAUAAAUUAAAACUUUCAACAACGGAUCUCUAGGUUCUCGCAUCGAUGAAGAACGCAGCGAAAUGCGAUACGUAUUGUGAAUUGCAGAAUUUUGUGAAUCAUCGAAUCUUUGAACGCACAUUGCACCUGGUGGUAUUCCGCCAGGUAUGCCUGUUUGAGCGUCAUUUCUCUCUCACUCCGGUGGUUUUGCUGUUUAUCAUUCUCUAGGGAAUGUGCAGUGAAAAGAAAUGGCAAGGCUCUAGUCUUCAAGAUAUGUUUUAGGUUCUACCAACUACAUUAUUUUCUAGACUAAUAAAGUCGGCUUGAUAACUUCUUUCAAUGUUGACCUCAAAUCAGGUAAGACUACCCGCUGAACUUAAGCAUAUCAAUAAGCGGAGGA
This 571-nucleotide ribosomal RNA is filed under the name uncultured Pichia. RNAcentral's name for it is "eukaryotic LSU rRNA". The stretch from base 203 to 356 matches the Rfam family "5.8S ribosomal RNA". Lineage: Eukaryota; Fungi; Ascomycota; Saccharomycetes; Saccharomycetales; Saccharomycetaceae. The record is from RNAcentral.